GCGCUCCCUUCGGAACACGAGUGACAGGUGGUGCAUGGUUGUCGUCAGCUCGUGUCGUGAGAUGUUGGGUUAAGUCCCGUAACGAGCGCAACCCUUGUUGUUAGUUGCCAUCAUUUAGUUGGGCACUCUAGCGAGACUGCCGGUGACAAACCGGAGGAAGGUGGGGAUGACGUCAAAUCAUCAUGCCCCUUAUGAGCUGGGCUACACACGUGCUACAAUGGAUGGUACAGCGAGACGCUAAACCGCGAGGUCAAGCUAAUCUCCUAAAGCCAUUCUCAGUUCGGAUUGCAGGCUGCAACUCGCCUGCAUGAAGCCGGAAUCGCUAGUAAUCGUGGAUCAGAAUGCCGCGGUGAAUACGUUCCCGGGCUCUUACACACACCGCAAAAAA
This 388-nucleotide ribosomal RNA is filed under the name uncultured Vagococcus sp. Its description in RNAcentral is "bacterial SSU rRNA". It matches the Rfam family "Bacterial small subunit ribosomal RNA", at positions 1012 to 1399 of the family's 1533-position model. Lineage: Bacteria; Bacillati; Bacillota; Bacilli; Lactobacillales; Enterococcaceae. The record is from RNAcentral.